GCUUGCUCCUUUGACGUUAGCGGCGGACGGGUGAGUAACACGUGGAUAACCUACCUAUAAGACUGGGAUAACUUCGGGAAACCGGAGCUAAUACCGGAUAACAUAUUGAACCGCAUGGUUCAAUAGUGAAAGGCGGCUUUGCUGUCACUUAUAGAUGGAUCCGCGCCGUAUUAGCUAGUUGGUAAGGUAACGGCUUACCAAGGCAACGAUACGUAGCCGACCUGAGAGGGUGAUCGGCCACACUGGAACUGAGACACGGUCCAGACUCCUACGGGAGGCAGCAGUAGGGAAUCUUCCGCAAUGGGCGAAAGCCUGACGGAGCAACGCCGCGUGAGUGAUGAAGGUCUUCGGAUCGUAAAACUCUGUUAUCAGGGAAGAACAAAUGUGUAAGUAACUGUGCACAUCUUGACGGUACCUGAUCAGAAAGCCACGGCUAACUACGUGCCAGCAGCCGCGGUAAUACGUAGGUGGCAAGCGUUAUCCGGAAUUAUUGGGCGUAAAGCGCGCGUAGGCGGUUUUUUAAGUCUGAUGUGAAAGCCCACGGCUCAACCGU
RNAcentral lists this ribosomal RNA (553 nucleotides) under Staphylococcus warneri. RNAcentral's name for it is "bacterial SSU rRNA". It matches the Rfam family "Bacterial small subunit ribosomal RNA", at positions 78 to 616 of the family's 1533-position model. Lineage: Bacteria; Bacillati; Bacillota; Bacilli; Caryophanales; Staphylococcaceae. The record is from RNAcentral.